GGAUGCGAUCAUACCAGCACUAAAGCACCGGUUCCCAUUAGAACUCCAAAGUUAAGCGUGCUUGGGCGAGAGUAGUACUAGGAUGGGUGACCUCUUCGGAAGUCCACUUGUUGCAUUCC
Molecule: ribosomal RNA, 119 nt
Filed under: Hordeum vulgare subsp. vulgare (domesticated barley)
Lineage: Eukaryota; Viridiplantae; Streptophyta; Magnoliopsida; Poales; Poaceae
Source: RNAcentral